This 1151-nucleotide ribosomal RNA is filed under the name Vibrio parahaemolyticus. RNAcentral describes it as "bacterial SSU rRNA". It matches the Rfam family "Bacterial small subunit ribosomal RNA", at positions 100 to 1247 of the family's 1533-position model. Lineage: Bacteria; Pseudomonadati; Pseudomonadota; Gammaproteobacteria; Vibrionales; Vibrionaceae. The record is from RNAcentral.
GGACGGGUGAGUAAUGCCUAGGAAAUUGCCCUGAUGUGGGGGAUAACCAUUGGAAACGAUGGCUAAUACCGCAUGAUGCCUACGGGCCAAAGAGGGGGACCUUCGGGCCUCUCGCGUCAGGAUAUGCCUAGGUGGGAUUAGCUAGUUGGUGAGGUAAGGGCUCACCAAGGCGACGAUCCCUAGCUGGUCUGAGAGGAUGAUCAGCCACACUGGAACUGAGACACGGUCCAGACUCCUACGGGAGGCAGCAGUGGGGAAUAUUGCACAAUGGGCGCAAGCCUGAUGCAGCCAUGCCGCGUGUGUGAAGAAGGCCUUCGGGUUGUAAAGCACUUUCAGUCGUGAGGAAGGUAGUGUAGUUAAUAGCUGCAUUAUUUGACGUUAGCGACAGAAGAAGCACCGGCUAACUCCGUGCCAGCAGCCGCGGUAAUACGGAGGGUGCGAGCGUUAAUCGGAAUUACUGGGCGUAAAGCGCAUGCAGGUGGUUUGUUAAGUCAGAUGUGAAAGCCCGGGGCUCAACCUCGGAAUUGCAUUUGAAACUGGCAGACUAGAGUACUGUAGAGGGGGGUAGAAUUUCAGGUGUAGCGGUGAAAUGCGUAGAGAUCUGAAGGAAUACCGGUGGCGAAGGCGGCCCCCUGGACAGAUACUGACACUCAGAUGCGAAAGCGUGGGGAGCAAACAGGAUUAGAUACCCUGGUAGUCCACGCCGUAAACGAUGUCUACUUGGAGGUUGUGGCCUUGAGCCGUGGCUUUCGGAGCUAACGCGUUAAGUAGACCGCCUGGGGAGUACGGUCGCAAGAUUAAAACUCAAAUGAAUUGACGGGGGCCCGCACAAGCGGUGGAGCAUGUGGUUUAAUUCGAUGCAACGCGAAGAACCUUACCUACUCUUGACAUCCAGAGAACUUUCCAGAGAUGGAUUGGUGCCUUCGGGAACUCUGAGACAGGUGCUGCAUGGCUGUCGUCAGCUCGUGUUGUGAAAUGUUGGGUUAAGUCCCGCAACGAGCGCAACCCUUAUCCUUGUUUGCCAGCGAGUAAUGUCGGGAACUCCAGGGAGACUGCCGGUGAUAAACCGGAGGAAGGUGGGGACGACGUCAAGUCAUCAUGGCCCUUACGAGUAGGGCUACACACGUGCUACAAUGGCGCAUACAGAGGGC